Molecule: non-coding RNA, 106 nt
Organism: Gossypium raimondii (Peruvian cotton)
Lineage: Eukaryota; Viridiplantae; Streptophyta; Magnoliopsida; Malvales; Malvaceae
Source: Rfam
AUUCCAUGAUGAGUGCACUUUCAUAAUAAUUCUUUAAUUUUUUCCCAAGCCUCAUACAAGGACUCGUCAUUCAUUUGUUGGAAGGUAGUAAUCUCGUUCCUAAACU